GACGAACGCUGGCGGCGUGCUUAACACAUGCAAGUCGAACGGAAAGGCCCUGCUUUUGUGGGGUGCUCGAGUGGCGAACGGGUGAGUAACACGUGAGUAACCUGCCCUUGACUUUGGGAUAACUUCAGGAAACUGGGCUAAUACCGGAUAGGAGCUCCUGCUGCGUGGUGGGGGUUGGAAAGUUUCGGCGGUUGGGGAUGGACUCGCGGCUUAUCAGCUUGUUGGUGGGGUAGUGGCUUACCAAGGCUUUGACGGGUAGCCGGCCUGAGAGGGUGACCGGCCACAUUGGGACUGAGAUACGGCCCAGACUCCUACGGGAGGCAGCAGUGGGGAAUAUUGCACAAUGGGCGGAAGCCUGAUGCAGCAACGCCGCGUGCGGGAUGACGGCCUUCGGGUUGUAAACCGCUUUCGCCUGUGACGAAGCGUGAGUGACGGUAAUGGGUAAAGAAGCACCGGCUAACUACGUG
This 467-nucleotide ribosomal RNA is filed under the name uncultured bacterium. RNAcentral's name for it is "partial 16S ribosomal RNA". It matches the Rfam family "Bacterial small subunit ribosomal RNA", at positions 28 to 507 of the family's 1533-position model. The record is from RNAcentral.